This is a long non-coding RNA of Hordeum vulgare subsp. vulgare (domesticated barley), 574 nucleotides long. RefSeq lists it as uncharacterized. NCBI's taxonomy places the organism in Eukaryota, Viridiplantae, Streptophyta, Magnoliopsida, Poales, Poaceae. The record is from RefSeq and is a predicted model, not a curated record. The transcript is spliced from 4 exons.
CCCAAAGCAAGAACAUUCCCCCCCGACCCCGAGCGCCGCCUCCGCCGGCCGCCGUUGCUGCCGUCGUCGACCACCUCCUGUUGCUGCCGUCUUAGAACACCUCGCCAUCUACCACGAAGCUGUUGGACUCCAGGCAAGGUGAAGCUGAGGAGGGAGCGCCGCGUCUGCAGCUGCUCGCCGUUGAGUCGAGGGUCGACCGCCGUCUCCACCUGCCCGUGUUCGACCACCUCCUCACCGUAUCGUCGACCGGAGAAGGCCACAAAGCUGGAGGACGCGGGGGAUGGAGCCGGUCCGGACGCGCCUGUACUUGCAUGCCGUCUCCUCUGUUCGAUCCUAUGCUCUCUGAUGAAGCUGUUGCUACCGGGCAAGACCAAUUCAUCUACCGAGUGAAAUGCAACUGCUUAGGAACUCUCACGGAGAAGAAGGGCAUGCUUUGGGAUAGAGAACAGAAGGCUGAAGGUUGCUGACCUAAAUGGUGAUUUCACCCUGUCACUGGCCAAGGAUUGCGUACCUUCGAACAAAGUAAACAAAGAGAAAACUUAUGAAAUAGGGACAACGUAUGAGACUCUGAGGG